AUAAUGCAAGUCGAACGCUUCUUUUUCCACCGGAGCUUGCUCCACCGGAAAAAGAGGAGUGGCGAACGGGUGAGUAACACGUGGGUAACCUGCCCAUCAGAAGGGGAUAACACUUGGAAACAGGUGCUAAUACCGUAUAACAAUCAAAACCGCAUGGUUUUGAUUUGAAAGGCGCUUUCGGGUGUCGCUGAUGGAUGGACCCGCGGUGCAUUAGCUAGUUGGUGAGGUAACGGCUCACCAAGGCCACGAUGCAUAGCCGACCUGAGAGGGUGAUCGGCCACAUUGGGACUGAGACACGGCCCAAACUCCUACGGGAGGCAGCAGUAGGGAAUCUUCGGCAAUGGACGAAAGUCUGACCGAGCAACGCCGCGUGAGUGAAGAAGGUUUUCGGAUCGUAAAACUCUGUUGUUAGAGAAGAACAAGGAUGAGAGUAACUGUUCAUCCCUUGACGGUAUCUAACCAGAAAGCCACGGCUAACUACGUGCCAGCAGCCGCGGUAAUACGUAGGUGGCAAGCGUUGUCCGGAUUUAUUGGGCGUAAAGCGAGCGCAGGCGGUUUCUUAAGUCUGAUGUGAAAGCCCCCGGCUCAACCGGGGAGGGUCAUUGGAAACUGGGAGACUUGAGUGCAGAAGAGGAGAGUGGAAUUCCAUGUGUAGCGGUGAAAUGC
RNAcentral lists this ribosomal RNA (666 nucleotides) under Enterococcus faecium. RNAcentral describes it as "bacterial SSU rRNA". It matches the Rfam family "Bacterial small subunit ribosomal RNA", at positions 51 to 689 of the family's 1533-position model. The record is from RNAcentral. Lineage: Bacteria; Bacillati; Bacillota; Bacilli; Lactobacillales; Enterococcaceae.